Ictalurus punctatus (channel catfish) is the source of this 5661-nucleotide long non-coding RNA. The record is from Ensembl. Lineage: Eukaryota; Metazoa; Chordata; Actinopteri; Siluriformes; Ictaluridae.
UACUAUCAUGUAACUGCUCCUCCUCCAUCAAAGGAGGGACAGGUGAGCGUCUCCCACAGGCGCUGCUCCAUCCUGCGGCCCAGCUCCACGGAAGUAGCGACGUGGCUUCCCGGUGGACGUCACGAGCAUCGGAUCCAGCACCGAGCGGGAGACUCCUUGACACUCUGCACCGCUUAGACCGUGGAUCGUAAGUAGGGCUUCUCGAUUAUGGCAAAAAUCAUAACCACGAUUAUUUUGGUCAAUAUCGAGAUCACAAUUAUUAAACACAGUUACUCAUUGCCUUAUUCCAAAAGAAAAACCUGGGGGGAAAAAAAAAAAAAAAAAAAAAAACAUAGAAGACAAUUACAUAAAUUUGUUUAAUGAAAUAAAUUGCGGAGUACGUCACGUGACGCAUUUUGGCGAAUCGCGUCGCCAGAAAUGAACUUUAAACGUCCUUAGCCAGUGAGAUUCUGUCUCCCGGUGUAGAUCAGCCUGUUCAGCCUGUAGUUUCUGCAGGAGCUGGAGAAAGGAAAUGACCGUAUUUAGACCGGAGUCUGAGAGAGUCAUACAUCAGUCUGAGGUCACACAGACAUUGUUCAAAAUCAAAAACAAAAGAAAUGACCAUCACGUCUGUGGACGUGGCAGCAGAAGUGGAUGGUAGCUUUUCCUCAGACUCCACCAGUCAACAGCCCAAGCCUGUCUCCCUCUUUCUUUACCCUUGGGUGCAAUCUGAACCAACAAGAGUCAUUGAGUCAGUUGCAUCAUUGAAUAAAUAUCAAUAUUAGUGAACUCUUUUUCUUUUUGAAAGGCCAAAGAGAUCUCUGGCCAACCAACGUUCACCGAGACACGUGUACUUUAAUAAGGGGGAAUAGCAUCCAUCAAUGGUCGCAUGCGAGCACGGAGAAAAUCAGAGCUACUGAGACUUUUGUAAAUCUGCCAGAAAUUUACUAAAAGAACAAUGAAUGAGGUCAAACCAAAAAAAAAAAAAAAAAAACUAAAGUCAGCGUUUUGUCAUCCGUCCUCGUUUCAUGCUCAUCAUCCUGGAGUUCUGCUUCCCUCGCGAUCUUCUGUACGAUCUGAACCCAGAAACAUGACAACAAGUUUCAAGCAGUAUCCUGUAUAAGCAUGUCUGAUCUGCUAGUCCAAGUGUCCAUUCUCUCUACUCUACACAAAGUAAAGAAAAAGAAAUGUUUAGACCUGAUGCGAACGGUCGGCAUGUUUCAUACAGGAGAGAGACGUGUUUUCCUCUUCCUCUUUUUUCCCUCUUUCUCUACCUUCGUCUAUGUCUUUCUCCAAUAAACACACAGGACAAUAAACACACAGAACAAAACAAUAAACACACAGGACAAUAAACACACAGAACAAAACAAUAAACACACAGAACAAAACAAUAAACACACAGAACAAAACAAUAAACACACAGGACAAUAAACACACAGGACAAUACAAUAAAUAGAAAGGACAAUAAACACACAGGACAAAACAAUAAAUAUACAGGACAAUAAACACACAGGACAAAACAAUAAACACACAGGACAAUAAACACACAGGACAAUAAACACACAGGACAAAACAAUAAACACACAGGACAAUAAACACACAGGACAAAACAAUAAACACACAGGACAAAACAAUAAAUAGAAAGGACAAUAAACACACAGGACAAAACAACAAACACACAGGACAAUACAAUAAAUAGAAAGGACAAUAAACACACAGGACAAACAAUAAACACACAGGACAAAACAAUAAAUAGAAAGGACAAUAAACACACAGACAAAACAACAAACACACAGGACAAAACAAUAAACACACAGGACAAAACAAUAAAUACACAGGACAAAACAAUAAAUACACAGGACAAUAAACACACAGGACAAUAAACACACAGGACAAUAAACACACAGGACAAUAAACACACAGGACAAAACAAUAAACACACAGGACAAAACAAUAAAUACACAGGACAAUAAAUACACAGGACAAAACAAUAAAUAGAAAGGACAAUAAACACACAGGACAAAACAAUAAAUAUACAGGACAAUAAACACACAGGACAAAACAAUAAACACACAGGACAAUAAACACACAGGACAAUAAACACACAGGACAAUAAACACACAGGACAAUAAACACACAGGACAAACAAUAAACACACAGGACAAAACAAUAAAUACACAGGACAAUAAACACACAGGACAAAACAAUAAAUAGAAAGGACAAUAAACACACAGGACAAAACAUAAACACACAGGACAAAACAAUAAAUAGAAAGGACAAUACAAUAAAUAGAAAGGACAAUAAACAUACAGGACAAUAAACACACAGGACAGGACAAUAAACACAAGACAAUAAACACACAGGACAGGACAAUAAACACAAGACAAUAAACACACAGGACAGGACAUAAAUACACAGGACAAAACUAACACACAGGACAAUACAAUAAAUACACAGAACAAAACUAACACAAAGGACAAUAAAUACACAGGACAAUACAAUAAAUAGACAGGACAGUAAAUAAACAAGACAAUAAAAGAACAAGACAAAACAAUAAACACACAGAACAAAACAAAUACACAGGACAAUAAAUACACAGGACAAUACAAUAAAUACACAGGACAAUAAAUACACAGGACAAAACAAAUACACAGGACAAUACAAUAAAUACACAGGACAAUAAAUACACAGGACAAUAAAUACACAGGACAAAACAAAUACACAGGACAAUAAAUACACAGGACAAAACAAUAAAUACACAGGACAAAACUAACACAAAAGGACAAUAAAUACACAGGACAAUAAAUACACAGGACAAAACAAUAAAUACACAGGACAAUAAAUACACAGGACAAAACAACAAAUACACUAAAUAGAAAGGACAAUAAAUACACAGGACAAAAGAAUAAACACACAGGAAAAUAAACAACACACGAGACAAAACAAUAAAUACACAGGACAAUAAAAGAACAAGACAAAAGAAUAAAUAGACAGGACAAUGAAUAAACAAAACAAAAUAAAUACACAGGACAAUACAAUAAAUAGAAAGGACAAUAAACACACAGGACAAAACAAAAAACACACAAAACAAUAAAUACCCAGGACAAUAAAUAAACAAAAGAAAACAAUAAAUACAUAGAACAAACCAACAAACACAGGACAAAACAACAAAUACACAGGACAAAACAAUAAAUACACAGGACAAUAAAUAAACAAAAGAAAACAAUAAAUACACAGGACAAAACAAUAAAUACACAGGACAAAACAAUAAAUACACAGGACAAAACAAUAAAUACACAGGACAAUACACUAAAUAGACAGGACAAUAAAUACACAGGACAAUAAAUACACAGGACAAAACAAUAAAUACACAGGACAAUAAAUACACAGGACAAAACAAUAAAUACACAGGACAAUAAAUACACAGGACAAAACAAUAAAUACACAGGACAAAACAAUAAAUACACAGGACAAUAAAUACACAGGACAAAACAAUAAACACACAGGACAAAACAAUAAACACACAGGACAAUAAACACACAGGACAAACAAUAAAUAAAAAGGACAAAACAAUAAACACACAGGACAAUUGUUACGUUAGCUUGUUGGAGGCAACAGGAUUAACAGGAUUAGAAUACUGGGAUCAGGCGGAAGACGAAAUGCAGAAGGUAGCAGUUGGUCGGCGAUCGGGCGAACAAUACAGACUGGGCUAUACAAGGAAGCGUAUUCCGAGAACAAAAACUCCAAAAACCGUAGAAAUCCAAAACAUGAACAAAGGCUUGGUGAACGUCAGGUGAAAGGUAGCUGAGCGUUUACUUCGCGAGGCGCUGAAGUUAACGAGCCCUUGUAUAACCUACGGUGCGAGACAGGUGUUCUCACUCGGUAUUCUGGUGAACGUGAGUGCGUGCAUAGUCGGGAAGUGUAGUUCUCGUCGGCCAUGUUUGUAGUUGGCACUGCCUUCUGGGAACUGUAGUUGCGAACUCGCCGUGAUGUGACAGAGCCGCCCCCCCCCCCCGCAAAGGGCUCACUCCGGGAGCCGAAUCCUUCCGAGGCCUCCCUCUCCUCUGUAUUCUCGGUCUAGAUGAUUGAACGGCAUGGAAGUCCCUGCGCAGGUCUGGUUCCAGAAUGUCCUGGGACGGGAUCCAGCAAUGCUCCUCUGGGCCGUACCAUCCCAGUCCACCAGAUACUCGAGUUUACAGCUCCUACAUCUUCAGUUGAGGAUGUUGCAAACGCGGUAGGCUGGGCAGUUCCGAUGGGAAGUCAAUAAAUACACAGGACAAUACAAUAAAUACACAGGACAAUAAAUACACAGAACAAUAAAUACACAGGACAAAACAAUAAAUACACAGGACAAAACAAUAAAUACACAGGAUGAUAAAUACACAGGACAAAACAAUAAACACAGGACAAAACAACAAACACACAGGACAAAACAAUAAACACACAGGGCAAUAAAUACACAGGACAAAACAAUAAAUAAAAAUGACAAAACAAUAAACACAGCACAAAACAAUAAAUACACAGGACAAUACACACACAGGAAAAAACAAUAAAUACACAAAACAAUAAAUACACAGGACAAAACAAUAAACACAGGACAAUAAAUACACAGGGCAAUACAAUAACCACACAGGACAAAAAAAUAAAUACACAGGACAAAACAAUAAAUACACAGGACAAUAAAUACACAGGACAAAACAAUAUUUACAUUUAUGGCAUUUUGGCCGACGCCCUUAUCCAGAGCGACUUACAUUUAUCUCAUUUAUACAUCUGAGCAGUUGAGGGUUAGGGGCCUUGCUCAAGGGCCCAACAGUGGUAUCUUAGCAGUGCUGAGGCUUGAACUUCUGACCUUCUGAUCAGUCACCCAGAGCCUUUAACCACUGAUCCACCACUUCCCCAAUAAAUAGAUAGGACAAAACAAAUACACUGGACAAUAAAUACACAGGACAAUCAAUACACGUGGCUGGUUUUCUAUGGCGUUCUGGAAGCACAGCAGCGUUUACAACGUCACUGUCUUCCAGUUCCCUUUUCCUCUUCUGCACAACCUGAACCGAGAAACACGACAAGAAGUUUCAAUCAAUAUCCUGUAUAAGCGUGUCUGACCUGCUUCUCCGACAGUUUACUUGCUGUACUCUACACAAAGUAAAGAGACGUUUCGACCUGACGCAGAGGCUCGGCAUGUUGUCUCUUACGAUUCCCACAGUAGUUCUGCUCUUGAGAAGGCAUUUCAGAAUCUUCCACAGAGAUCGCGCUCUGAACUCAGUUUGUGUCGAUCCUUAAAAUGGAAUAUCAUUCUUUUAGAAUUUUAGAACCAGAAUAGAAGAUGGGCUUCAGAACACUUGUGACCUCAGUUGACCUCUGCUGAGUUCAGUUCGUUCAUCAGUACACCAUCAAGAAAAUAACAGGACAGAGAAUCUGGAGAUGAUUUACUUCUAUCAUUCACAAAUUAUUAUAAAUAUAAUAAUAAUAAUAAUAAUAAUAACAACAACAACAACAACAACAAACAGACACAAAAGCCAAUUGCAUUUUAUAUGCAAUAAUGAGCAGUUGGAUAUGCAAAAAUAUGUUAAAUAAAUAAAUAAAUAAAUAAAUAAAUGAGUAAAAUAAAAAUAUUUUGAUGUGGUCAUCUUUGAGCCCCUUGAAUAGCCGAUGUUAGGCCUAUAACUGACUGCUGAAAGAAUG